This 486-nucleotide long non-coding RNA is filed under the name Lynx pardinus (Iberian lynx). The record is from RNAcentral. Lineage: Eukaryota; Metazoa; Chordata; Mammalia; Carnivora; Felidae.
CCUGCUGAAGGGGGAGACAUGAGCAAGUGAGCAGCCAUUCUCAGGACCAGCCACUCCACGAGGACCAGGCCAUGCAGAAAGGAUGCAGAAAGACGGUGUUACCUCCAAAGAGGCCAUUUGAGGGGAGGGGCUAGAGAUCACUGCUUGCCCCUUUUCAGGCUGGCCCGCUUCACUAUCUGAGCCCCCUUCCUGCUCUCUAUCAGGUCCGGCUGCAGGCUACUCCCUCUCAGCUCCACCUGGAGACAGCAGCAGAGACAGAACGCAGGACAGAUCACACAGAGAGACAGGCAGAAAGUAGGCAUGAGAACGACAGCACUUCCGGCAGCCGUGGAAACCCUGCCUGCCAUAGAGGACAGAGGCACAGGGGAGACCACAGGAGGUGAGCAUGGUGCAGACUGGAGCCCAGAGAGGGCGGGUGCACAGGUGAGCAGUUGGGAGAAGUGACAGGCGCUCAGAAGGGCGAGAGCCUCUGGGAGGCUGCAGCCG